This 221-nucleotide unclassified non-coding RNA is filed under the name Glomus sp. Its description in RNAcentral is "partial contains 5.8S ribosomal RNA and internal transcribed spacer 2". The stretch from base 1 to 65 matches the Rfam family "5.8S ribosomal RNA", at positions 84 to 154 of the family's 154-position model. Lineage: Eukaryota; Fungi; Glomeromycota; Glomeromycetes; Glomerales; Glomeraceae. The record is from RNAcentral.
GUGAAUCAUCGAAUCUUUGAACGCAAAUUGCACUCUCCUGGGAGAGUAUGGCUGUUUGAGGGUCAGCCUAUAAAAAAUCGACAUCGUUGCUGUUUCGCGGUGACGUUCGUAGGAAAUGGGGUCAUCUUAAAUCCUUUUGGUUUUAAGCGACUUAAUAUUUUUUUUUUGGUUCCUUGAAAGUUUCUAAGAUCUAUUUCUUUACACGUUUAAGGUAUUGAUCU